GUCUGUAACUGACGCUGAGGUUCGAAAGCGUGGGUAGCAAACAGGAUUAGAUACCCUGGUAGUCCACGCCGUAAACGAUGAGUGCUAAGUGUUGGAGGGUUUCCGCCCUUCAGUGCUGCAGCUAACGCAUUAAGCACUCCGCCUGGGGAGUACGACCGCAAGGUUGAAACUCAAAGGAAUUGACGGGGGCCCGCACAAGCGGUGGAGCAUGUGGUUUAAUUCGAAGCAACGCGAAGAACCUUACCAGGUCUUGACAUCCUUUGACCACUCUAGAGAUAGAGCUUCCCCUUCGGGGGCAAAGUGACAGGUGGUGCAUGGUUGUCGUCAGCUCGUGUCGUGAGAUGUUGGGUUAAGUCCCGCAACGAGCGCAACCCUUAUUGUUAGUUGCCAUCAUUCAGUUGGGCACUCUAGCAAGACUGCCGGUGACAAACCGGAGGAAGGUGGGGAUGACGUCAAAUCAUCAUGCCCCUUAUGACCUGGGCUACACACGUGCUACAAUGGGAAGUACAACGAGUUGCGAAGUCGCGAGGCUAAGCUAAUCUCUUAAAGCUUCUCUCAGUUCGGAUUGCAGGCUGCAACUCGCCUGCAUGAAGCCGGAAUCGCUAGUAAUCGCGGAUCAGCACGCCGCGGUGAAUACGUUCCCGGGCCUUGUACACACCGCCCGUCACACCACGAGAGUUUGUAACACCCGAAGUCGGUGAGGUAACCUUUUGGAGCCAGCCGCCUAAGGUGGGACAGAUGAUUGGGGUGAAGUCGUAACAAGGUAGCCGUAU
Molecule: ribosomal RNA, 773 nt
Filed under: human gut metagenome
Description: bacterial SSU rRNA
Rfam family: Bacterial small subunit ribosomal RNA
Source: RNAcentral